RNAcentral lists this ribosomal RNA (510 nucleotides) under uncultured bacterium. RNAcentral describes it as "partial 16S ribosomal RNA". It matches the Rfam family "Bacterial small subunit ribosomal RNA", at positions 28 to 507 of the family's 1533-position model. The record is from RNAcentral.
GACGAACGCUGGCGGCGUGCUUAACGCAUGCAAGUCGAACGAAGAGCGACGGAAGCUUGCUUCUAUCAAUCUUAGUGGCGAACGGGUGAGUAACGCGUAAUCAACCUGCCCUUCAGAGGGGGACAACAGUUGGAAACGACUGCUAAUACCGCAUACGAUCUAACCUCGGCAUCGAGGAUAGAUGAAAGGUGGCCUCUACAUGUAAGCUAUCACUGAAGGAGGGGAUUGCGUCUGAUUAGCUAGUUGGAGGGGUAACGGCCCACCAAGGCGAUGAUCAGUAGCCGGUCUGAGAGGAUGAACGGCCACAUUGGGACUGAGACACGGCCCAGACUCCUACGGGAGGCAGCAGUGGGGAAUCUUCCGCAAUGGACGAAAGUCUGACGGAGCAACGCCGCGUGAGUGAUGACGGCCUUCGGGUUGUAAAGCUCUGUUAAUCGGGACGAAAGGCCUUCUUGCGAAUAGUGAGAAGGAUUGACGGUACCGGAAUAGAAAGCCACGGCUAACUACGUG